Molecule: ribosomal RNA, 327 nt
Filed under: Anneckeida sp. 1 D2480
Lineage: Eukaryota; Metazoa; Arthropoda; Insecta; Hymenoptera; Torymidae
Description: eukaryotic LSU rRNA
Source: RNAcentral
UGCGUGCACUUCUCCCCUAGUAGGACGUCGCGACCCGUUGGGUGCCGGCCUACGGCCCGGUUUGUCGACUGUCGUGGCGCGUUUACGCGCGCACCCUUCAGACGACCGGUCGCCCGGCCGGCUGCCCGGCGGUAUAGAACGCAUUUCAACGAUAUUGGGCCGCACAUUUGUGCGUCCUGGCUCGUCGGCAGGCUCGCCUCGCUCGGAUCUACGGACCCAGUGCCGUAGUCGGGUGCUUGGUGUGGUCGUUAGUCGACGAUGUCCUCGGACCGGCUCUUAUCGGUCGGCGACGCUACUGCUUUGGGUACUUUCAGGACCCGUCUUGAA